Molecule: long non-coding RNA, 816 nt
Organism: Oncorhynchus nerka (sockeye salmon)
Lineage: Eukaryota; Metazoa; Chordata; Actinopteri; Salmoniformes; Salmonidae
Exons: 2
Source: RefSeq, a predicted model, not a curated record
CUUGAGAGUGGAAGGAAAUGUCUGUUCACCAUGAACAGGAACUGGCCAUUGUCACUCUAGUGUUGGCAAACAACACCAUCCGCCUACAUCAACUACGAGAGCAAACCAUCGCAGACCACACAACAUCCGUAUUAUCAACCGUGUCAGUAUGUCGACACUCUGCCACAUCUUGCGUCAACACCAGCGUACGAUGAAGCAGCUGUCCAGGGUUCUAUUUGAGAGGAACAGUGUUGGAGUCAAAGACCUUCGCUGUGACUGUGUGCAAGUGAAAACCAUCACUCCCCAAUCAGUCAACAAUCAAUCAUCAAUCAGAAGACACACCUCCUCCUAUUUCCUACCCUAUCACAGUUCCUUCCCCAUGGUUUAAAAACCCCAUCAUUUGUUUGCUCUAGCAAUCUCUAGCUCAAUCUCUCUGUAAAUGCCAAGUCUGUAGGUCUCUGUGUUUCACUCUCGCUUUGUGUCUUAACCUCUCUUUUGUUUAAAGCACCUCCAUAGCACUUUGUCAUCACCUGUGAGUAUUGUUUUUGGGUUAUAGUGUUUGUUUGUUUGCUGGUGGGAAAAGGGGAAACCAAGACAAGUCGCCCAUGGGCAUACACUACCCGUAGGUGAACUUUGUUAAAUACACUAGUUAGAACUGGGCGGACCACCCACUGUAUUUUUGGUUAGUUAGUUAGUUAGCUGUUGUUAAAGUAGGCUAGUCUAGCUUAGGGGUGUUUUUGAAUACUUAUUGUUUCUUUCCUUGGGUCCAGCUCAGCCCCUUUUCCUGCUCCCCCCAUUACCGUGUGUUUAUAAAUAAACCUAGAGUUUGACGGUAGA